This 468-nucleotide ribosomal RNA is filed under the name uncultured bacterium. Its description in RNAcentral is "partial 16S ribosomal RNA". It matches the Rfam family "Bacterial small subunit ribosomal RNA", at positions 28 to 507 of the family's 1533-position model. The record is from RNAcentral.
GACGAACGCUGGCGGCGUGCUUAACACAUGCAAGUCGAACGGAAAGGCCCUGCUUUUGUGGGGUGCUCGAGUGGCGAACGGGUGAGUAACACGUGAGUAACCUGCCCUUGACUUUGGGAUAACCUCAGGAAACUGGGGCUAAUACCGGAUACGAGCUCCUGCUGCAUGGUGGGGGUUGGAAAGUUUCGGCGGUUGGGGAUGGACUCGCGGCUUAUCAGCUUGUUGGUGGGGUAGUGGCUUACCAAGGCUUCGACGGGUAGCCGGCCUGAGAGGGGGACCGGCCACACUGGGACUGAGAGACGGCCCAGACUCCUACGGGAGGCAGAAGUGGGGAAUAUUGCACAAUGGGCGGAAGCCUGAUGCAGCGACGCCGCGUGCGGGAUGACGGCCUUCGGGUUGUAAACCGCUUUCGGCUGGGACGAAGCGUGAGUGACGGUAACGGGAGAAGAAGCACCGGCUAACUACGUG